CUCCUCCCGGCAUUGUCCCGCGGCCGCCGUCGGGCUCUUAAGCCCGGCCGCCCUGGGGCACGGCCGCAGCAGCUCUUCCGCGGCCCUCGCCCUGCUGUAAAGCUGGACACUGGAACCCUUCAUCCUCAUGUUUGCAUGGUCUUGAGAGGGGCGUGGAUAAAAGCACGCAUCCUCUUCAGAACCUACAGUGAUUUUGUCCAAUGAUGUUGGAGCAACAUUGGCACAACCCACCACAUGGUGCUGGCUGGAAGGAGCCGUGCAGGAGCACUGUGAAGAGACUUUCCAGGAAUGUUUCUGCAUGGAAAGCCAACACGUCUGCCUUGCAGGACUGAGGGAAGGAGGAGGGAUGGUGACUUGAUCGGUGAAGUCAGUGUGAGACUUCCCAUUGAUUCCAGCGGGUGCUGACCUCUAUGGGCUGAGACAGCAGCCUCAGCAUUGAGCUUGAACCUCACACAAUGGGACCCUUAUCCACAGUGAGGCCACAAAAUGCUGUUGCAUCCUAAAUAAAUUCACAUGAAACCAUCACACGGCAGUUUUCUUUGUGUGGGAACUUAAGGAGCUGGGAGAAGAAGGAUGGGGCAUGGGGAAGAUGCUCACAUAGCGUGUUUAAGAAGGACAGAUAAGGUGGAUAGAAGCAGA
Molecule: long non-coding RNA, 639 nt
Organism: Gallus gallus (chicken)
Lineage: Eukaryota; Metazoa; Chordata; Aves; Galliformes; Phasianidae
Source: Ensembl